UUGGGAAUCUUGGACAAUGGGGGAAACCCUGAUCCAGCCAUGCCGCGUGAGUGAUGAAGGCCUUCGGGUUGUAAAACUCUUUCGACGGGGACGAUAAUGACGGUACCCGUAGAAGAAGCUCCGGCUAACUUCGUGCCAGCAGCCGCGGUAAUACGAAGGGGGCUAGCGUUGUUCGGAAUUACUGGGCGUAAAGCGCGCGCAGGCGGCUAUCCAAGUCAGUGGUGAAAGCCCGGAGCUCAACUCCGGAACUGCCAUUGAAACUGUUUAGCUUGAGGACGAGAGAGGUGAGUGGAACUCCCAGUGUAGAGGUGAAAUUCGUAGAUAUUGGGAAGAACACCAGUGGCGAAGGCGGCUCACUGGCUCGUAUCUGACGCUCAGGCGCGAUAGCGUGGGGAUCAAACA
Molecule: ribosomal RNA, 402 nt
Filed under: uncultured bacterium
Lineage: Bacteria
Description: bacterial SSU rRNA
Rfam family: Bacterial small subunit ribosomal RNA
Source: RNAcentral